This 488-nucleotide ribosomal RNA is filed under the name uncultured bacterium. RNAcentral's name for it is "partial 16S ribosomal RNA". It matches the Rfam family "Bacterial small subunit ribosomal RNA", at positions 30 to 507 of the family's 1533-position model. The record is from RNAcentral.
AUUGAACGCUGGCGGCAGGCCUAACACAUGCAAGUCGAACGGUAGCACAGAGAGCUUGCUCUCGGGUGACGAGUGGCGGACGGGUGAGUAAUGUCUGGGAAACUGCCCGAUGGAGGGGGAUAACUACUGGAAACGGUAGCUAAUACCGCAUAAUGUCGCAAGACCAAAGAGGGGGACCUUCGGGCCUCUUGCCAUCGGAUGUGCCCAGAUGGGAUUAGCUUGUUGGUGAGGUAAUGGCUCACCAAGGCGACGAUCCCUAGCUGGUCUGAGAGGAUGACCAGCCACACUGGAACUGAGACGCGGUCCAGACUCCUACGGGAGGCAGCAGUGGGGAAUAUUGCACAAUGGGCGCAAGCCUGAUGCAGCCAUGCCGCGUGUGUGAAGAAGGCCUUCGGGUUGUAAAGCACUUUCAGCGGGGAGGAAGGCGAUACGGUUAAUAACCGUGUUGAUUGACGUUACCCGCAGAAGAAGCACCGGCUAACUCCGUG